Equus caballus (horse) is the source of this 4475-nucleotide long non-coding RNA. The record is from Ensembl. Lineage: Eukaryota; Metazoa; Chordata; Mammalia; Perissodactyla; Equidae.
CUUAUAAAAAGGGGAAAUGUGGACACAGAGAGAGGGAAGAAAAGUGAAGACGCAGGGAGAAGAUGGCUCCGUGACUGAGUGACUCAUCUGCAAACUGAAGAAUGCCUAGGCCUGCCAGAAGCUAGGAGAGAGGCCUGGAAAACGUCCUUCCCCAGGGCCUUCGGAGGGAGCAUGGCCUUUCUAAGCCUUGAUUUUGGACUUCCAGCCUCCAAACUUGUGAGACAAUAAAUUUCCAUUAUUCUAAGCAACCCAGUUUAUGGUACUUUGUUACUGCAGCCCUUAGCCAACUAAUACAGAGCCUUUGAUCAAAUCUGGACCAGGAUUAAGAGGGUUUUAGAUCGCUUUCCUAUUUCCAUUACAGGGAGCAAGUUCCUUUAGGCUUUUACCCUUUUUCUGGCAACUCUAAGCCAGCACUUCAUAUAAAAUAGCCAGAGAGAAAGCCCACUCUAUGUAGAGUUUAUGAAGAUCACUUUCUCACACUAUCCUUUUUCAAAAAUCCAUCACUUUGAAUUAAGAAAAUAAUCCCGUGAAGAAAACCUUGGAAAUAUUUCCUACAAUCAAUAAUUAGCCAAUUGCCUUAGUUUCCUAUAACUGCUAUAAUAAAAGAGGUCUCUCUCCUCCCUUUUUGUUUCUGUUGCUUCAUCACUGUUACUGUCUUUGAACCUCCUACCUCCCUCUUAUAAAGGCCCUUGUGAUUACAUUGAGCUCAGCCCGAUAAUCCAGAAUAACCUCCUCAUCUCAAGAUUGUUAACAUCAUACCUUCAAAGUCCUUUUUGCCAGGUAAGAUAAAGUAUUCACAGACUCUGAAGAUUAGGAUGUAGACAUCUUUAGAGGACCAUUAUUCAGUCUACGACAACACUCCAUAGAUAUCAGAACAUCAUUUGAAGAUGCUUGUUUCUCCUCUGCCCAAGAUGAGAGUCAAAACAAUUUUUGAAAAAAUCAACACAGCUUUGCCAUAAUUCAGAAGGAGUCAUACCAGAUCUUCAAUGAAUCAUAUCUCUGCCAAUAAUAUCAGUAAUAAUAGCUUUCCCCAGAUAUUCAUGCCUGCCAAGCCUAUUCAGAAAAGUACUUAAGCAUUCCUGGAUUCAUGGUGAACAAGCAGAGCCUCAUUCCCUGUAAUCAUACAAAAUAGACUCUUUCAUUUGCUGAACAGCGUGAUGCGGGAUUGCGGCAACCGUACGUACUGCUUCUUGAAGAAAGGUCUCCAGGCCCAGGUGAAGUACACAAACCAACAUUUGUGCUGCUUUACUAGGGUAAAGCUUUGCCAUCCACAGUUCCUGACUAAUGGCCAGCGCUACUUCUCUAGUCAUAGCAAGAGCCAGGGUUGCUCUGCUGGCCCCCUGGAAACAGCCCUGCCUCCAAUGAUCUCUGAUGGGCAAACAUCACAGCUUCACCUUGCUGUCAAGAACAACUGUAGUUUGCUGGGUUGAGUCAGCAGAAUGCAACAAGGGGAAGAUUCCCACCAUUCUGGAGUAAACUCUUUCAAAGCAAUGUUGGGUUUUUCUCAAUGAUUUACGAAUAGCUUUUUUGAAAUUUUCUUAUAGUCCCUUACAUGUACACAGGGCAAGACCAAAGCCAAAUUAAAGAAAUAGAAAUCAUAAACUCUGAAGAAUCUCUAUUCCUCUUUGGAUUACUAAGAAUUUGUUUCUCAGUUGAUGCUAUUUUGCUAGGCAACUUCCAAAAUUUCCUAGAGCAAAAUUUCUCUCACGACAUUUUCAGGGCCCACAUCAAUAGACUUCUGUCAGUUUAUCCCAUUAAUUUUCAGAAACACAAUUGUGGAUAUCUGGACUCUAAUAAGUGGUGCAGAUCCAAGAGAAUCUUUGCCUCCAUAUGAAUGGAAUUUUAUCAGGUUGGUCCCAUCAGAUUUCCAAAUAUGUCCAUAAAUACCUAAAAUCCUAGCAGUGUACAGAUAGAGCUAAAUUCAAAAUGAGAAGGUACCUGUUACAUUAAAAAUUAUGCGGAUGACCCAAUUUAAAUUACUCAUUUAUCAAAAUCAUCCUAUUAAUUUCCAACGUUCUUCUAUUUUUGGACCACAAUGAAAAGUAGUGCUUAAAUUUACUUCAUCUCCAGAAGAGUAAUCUGAGUCUUUGAAUGAUACUGUACAUAUCAUCUACCAGCUGCAUUUGAAAUAAAGUUGUGAAGUAUUAAAACAUGACAUUUAGGGUAGUAAAGGGUUAUGUCUAUCAUCAAUCAAUUAUAAAAAAUAAUAUAUUCCAAAUAUGAGGCUUUGUGGUCAUUUCUUCCUGCAAGUUAAAUAGUAGAUUUAGCUGUCUGAAGUCUAUUUUAGGUUGAAUUAUUUUUUUCAGGGUUUAUGAGAACUAACUAGAGUAAGAAGAGAAGGCAAAGAUACUUUUGAUGAUGGCGAGAAUGGAAAAUAAUGAACUAGAGUAAAGAAUACUUUUUGUUGAUGAUUGGAUAUAUGAGGUCACAUAAAUUUAAAUGCAGAAGCAAGUCCAGAUGUGGGCAGGAGACAGCACAAGGGCCUUAAGUACUUUGUAUAUUAUGACCGUAGAGGAUAGUAAGAAUUCCUGUGCUGUACAGAGCCAUUCUUAGUAAUCACUUCACUUGUAAUAACCACAUACUGCAUAAUGCUUAAUUAAUAACACUGUCUUAUAGCAAGAAUAAUUUUGAUGUGAGUCAAGCUGUUGUUAAUAUUUCUACAAACAAUGUUUUAGAAAGAAAGCUCUAUACUAAGGUCACAAUGAAAGCACUCUUCAGUAACCUUCGAUUCUUUUUUUAACCUACUAUACAAAAUGAUAAGAUUUGAAUUCUUUGUGAGGGCUAACUCAAGCUUCCAGAUCUUGACACUCUGAAUCCAACUUAUCAUUAAAAUUUCAUUCCUUUUUCCUUUAGUCCCAAUCAGACUGUUCUCUUUUUUGUCCUUAGAAAAAUGUGUUGCUCACUUCCAUGAAUGUGUCUACAACAUUUUUUUUUAUUCCUCGAAUGGUCACUCCUGUCUGUCCAGUUCCAAAAAUAUUCCAGCACAAUUCGUACCAGCUUCUCAAAGAAUAUCAAUAAAGACAUCCAAAAUGACAUUUUUCUCCUUGGAAAUUUUCCCACCCAUUUACUCACUGUAUCACUGCUUUAGCAGUGAAUAAUAUUAUUUUUGUGACCUUUUUUGCAUUAUUAUUUACCGUUUCAGAACUUUUUAAAACUUUCUCUUUGUAUUAUCCUAUAAUUAGAUUGUAAAACUCAGGAAAGCAGGACCUCAGUAUGCGUUUUAAUGUUAUACAACACCUUUGAACAUAAAAGCCCUAAGUAGUUAUUUAUUUUUAAAUGAAUAUGAUCCCUUCCAAUUAACGAAAAUAUGCAUACCAUUCUCCAGAGAUAAUUGUAUAACUUGGAUAAUAAUUGGUACUGUGAGAAAGAGAGAAAUGCAGGAUUGAGGUAUGGUAAAUGUUCCCCACCGAGUUUCUGUGGAGAAGAUAAACUUCAAGUAAACAUAGGGUUUAUAACCAUAAAAAAGCAAUCAAGGACUCUGAAAGUAUUGAGUUAAAGCCAGGAUAACUUUUUUUAAAUAUAGCAUGAAUUCAUCAAUUAUUUAGGCCAAUGAUGUGAAAUGGAAUCAUGAGUAUGUGAGGCCAUGCCAUAUAUAUCUUCAUGUUUCUUUCUGCCUUGAAUGCAAGGCCAGGGGGAACAUUUGCAACUAAGGAACAUCAAAUUAUUUUCAUAUUUGAAUGCCUACUGUGUUCUUAGCACCGAGUGAACACACUAGAGGACACAAAGGAAAAUGUAAUCCCGUAUUUGCUUCCUCUAGGGAGCCUGUGAUCAAAACUACCACAUUGAACUGAUUGGCUGAAUAAAUAGAAUUUGGUAACUUCAAAUCAGAUUUCAACUGAACUGAAUAAUAGCUGCGAAGAUGCUUACUAGACCACGUCCUCAGCCGGUCAUUUCCUCCCUGCCGCCCUACUUCUAUAUAUAGCACUUUCACUUCCAAUGUUCAAAAGGGCCAAGCCUAGGAAACCACUUGCUUCCGAGUCCCACGUCAUAGCUGAUCGGACUAGCAGUGCCUAUCUGACGCAAGGGGAGACAAACAGAUUCUCUCUCUCUCUGGAAUUUGAAAUUGAUACAGUGAAAGAAUAUUUUUUGUUGAUGAUUGGAUAUAUGAGGUCACAUGAAUUUAAAUGCAGAAGCAAGCAUUUCAAGGUCGCUGUGGUGAGCUGUGCGCAAGCAGGUAUUCACUCCAAAGAAAUGAAGACACAUGUCCGCAAAGAAGACAUGUGUAUGAAUGUCCACAGUAGAUUAAUUCAUAAUAGCCCGAAACUGAAAACAAAUAAAAUACACACCAGCAGGAGAAUGAGAAAACAAAUUGUACCAUUUCAUACAAAGGAAUACCUCUCAGCAAUAAAAUAGAUGUGAAUUACUGCCCCUUGUAAUAACAUGGAUGAAUUUCAAAAAUAUUAGAUUGAGCACAAGAAGUCAGACACAAAAGGAUGUAUACCAUAUGGUUCCAUUCAUAUAAAGUUUAAAUCACC